CUAGCGACUUCAGAGUUUGAUCCUGGCUCAGGACGAACGCUGGCGGCGUGCCUAACACAUGCAAGUCGAGCGAUGAAGUUUCCUUCGGGAAAUGGAUUAGCGGCGGACGGGUGAGUAACACGUGGGUAACCUGCCUCAUAGUGGGGAAUAGCCUUUCGAAAGGAAGAUUAAUACCGCAUAAGAUUGUAGUUUCGCAUGAAACAGCAAUUAAAGGAGCAAUUCGCUAUGAGAUGGACCCGCGGCGCAUUAGCUAGUUGGUGAGGUAACGGCUCACCAAGGCCACGAUGCGUAGCCGACCUGAGAGGGUGAUCGGCCACAUUGGGACUGAGACACGGCCCAG
RNAcentral lists this ribosomal RNA (340 nucleotides) under uncultured bacterium. RNAcentral describes it as "bacterial SSU rRNA". It matches the Rfam family "Bacterial small subunit ribosomal RNA", at positions 1 to 334 of the family's 1533-position model. The record is from RNAcentral.